CGUGAGUGGCGGACGGGUGAGUAGCGCGUGGGUAACCUGCCUCAUACAGGGGGAUAACAGUUAGAAAUGACUGCUAAUACCGCAUAAGACCACAGUACCGCAUGGUACAGGGGUAAAAACUCCGGUGGUAUGAGAUGGACCCGCGUCUGAUUAGGUAGUUGGUGGGGUAACGGCCUACCAAGCCGACGAUCAGUAGCCGACCUGAGAGGGUGACCGGCCACAUUGGGACUGAGACACGGCCCAA
Molecule: ribosomal RNA, 244 nt
Filed under: uncultured bacterium
Lineage: Bacteria
Description: partial 16S ribosomal RNA
Rfam family: Bacterial small subunit ribosomal RNA
Source: RNAcentral